CUGGCAGCAAGAAUCAACUGCAAUAUAAGCGGACCCUUGCCUGUUAUGGAUCUUGCUUAGGACCAAAGCCCAAUCAAUAUUAGCUUCACCUCGAAUGGGAAAACAGUGGCGCACAGUGACUUCACAUGGGUGGCAUUCGGACCAGAAAAAGCUUGAAUACCGAGUGAAACAGAUUCUGUCGCCUGACAGUGAAUACCCCCCACUGUGAUCCUUUCUCCCCCUCUGCACAAUGUUUUAUAUGUGAGUAUAUAAUAAAGAAGCAACCCUGAAAAAGAAGCACUGGGAAGGGUUUAAAUCACUGUAAGACUCACCGCAGACGACUGUAACUCAGGAGGUAGUAGAUCACUCCCGGAUGAAGCGGGGUGAAACGCGUUGGAGUGUGAGGUGGGGAACACCGGAGCAGACGGCUGUGCAAUCCAG
This is a long non-coding RNA of Hyla sarda, 420 nucleotides long. RefSeq lists it as uncharacterized. The transcript is spliced from 3 exons. NCBI's taxonomy places the organism in Eukaryota, Metazoa, Chordata, Amphibia, Anura, Hylidae. The record is from RefSeq and is a predicted model, not a curated record.